RNAcentral lists this ribosomal RNA (253 nucleotides) under uncultured bacterium. Its description in RNAcentral is "partial 16S ribosomal RNA". It matches the Rfam family "Bacterial small subunit ribosomal RNA", at positions 524 to 776 of the family's 1533-position model. The record is from RNAcentral.
UACGAAGGGGGCUAGCGUUGCUCGGAAUCACUGGGCGUAAAGCGCACGUAGGCGGCUUUCUAAGUCAGGGGUGAAAUCCUGGAGCUCAACUCCAGAACUGCCUUUGAUACUGGAGAGCUUGAGUCCGGAAGAGGUGAGUGGAACUCCGAGUGUAGAGGUGAAAUUCGUAGAUAUUCGGAAGAACACCUGAGGCGAAGGCGGGUUGCUGGGCCGACACUGACGCUGAGGCGCGAAAGCCAGGGGAGCGAACGGG